GAGAGAAUUUGAGAUUGUUAGAGU
RNAcentral lists this microRNA (24 nucleotides) under Rosa chinensis. Its description in RNAcentral is "sRNA RchiOBHm_Chr3g0457115". Lineage: Eukaryota; Viridiplantae; Streptophyta; Magnoliopsida; Rosales; Rosaceae. The record is from RNAcentral.